This 468-nucleotide ribosomal RNA is filed under the name uncultured bacterium. Its description in RNAcentral is "partial 16S ribosomal RNA". It matches the Rfam family "Bacterial small subunit ribosomal RNA", at positions 28 to 507 of the family's 1533-position model. The record is from RNAcentral.
GACGAACGCUGGCGGCGUGCUUAACACAUGCAAGUCGAACGGAAAGGCCCUGCUUUUGUGGGGUGCUCGAGUGGCGAACGGGUGAGUAACACGUGAGUAACCUGCCCUUGACUUUGGGAUAACUUCAGGAAACUGGGGCUAAUACCGGAUAGGAGCUCCUGCUGCAUGGUGGGGGUUGGAAAGUUUCGGCGGUUGGGGAUGGACUCGCGGCUUAUCAGCUUGUUGGUGGGGUAGUGGCUUACCAAGGCUUUGACGGGUAGCCGGCCUGAGAGGGUGACCGGCCACAUUGGGACUGAGAUACGGCCCAGACGCCUACGGGAGGCAGCAGUGGGGAAUAUUGCACAAUGGGCGGAAGCCUGAUGCAGCAACGCCGCGUGCGGGAUGACGGCCUUCGGGUUGUAAACCGCUGUCGCCUGUGACGAAGCGGGAGUGACGGUAAUGGGUAAAGAAGCACCGGCUAACUACGUG